GACCUCGGUAGCUUAGCGGUCAAAAGCAGUGGGGCGUAAAUCAAGAAAGAACUCUCCCUGGGUUCGAAUCCCAGUCGAGUUCA
Molecule: non-coding RNA, 83 nt
Organism: Henosepilachna vigintioctopunctata
Lineage: Eukaryota; Metazoa; Arthropoda; Insecta; Coleoptera; Coccinellidae
Source: the annotation of a GenBank genome assembly